UGCCACUGCAACAACGCCAAGAGCAAGAGUAGGUCCACCAUCUGUGACAGUGUUCCAUGCAAAGCUUUGGCCAAUGUUGGUCGGAUUGUUGGGUAAUGUUACUGGAUCUUGCUAGGUGGUGUGUCAGCAGCGUACAGUAAGGUAACCUACGAGUCUGCUAGAUUACACAUUAAGAAGAAUUUGAUCAUGAGUUGGUGUGUGAAAUCGUUGUCACUAAUUUGUCAACAAAUUAAGAACCCACAACUGACGUGUGUACGUAAUCGCUAUCACGCAGAAAAGAUAGCAAAAGGACCUCUUCUGCGACGGUAUGGAUAUAGAGACAGAAUUCUUCAAAGUGGAACUUUACCGCAUGUUGAUGGACCACGGUUACCCAUGCCAGUGUACAGACCAAAAAAUGCAUGGUGCGAGAAGCGUGCAUUGUUUGGGCAGAAUGAUUAUAUAGACAUUCUUGGGAAUGGAGAUCUUCAUCCAACCAGGAUCAUGUACAAUGUACAGUCAUGGCUACGCGGUGU
Molecule: non-coding RNA, 512 nt
Organism: Zootermopsis nevadensis
Lineage: Eukaryota; Metazoa; Arthropoda; Insecta; Blattodea; Termopsidae
Source: RefSeq, a predicted model, not a curated record